This 73-nucleotide transfer RNA is filed under the name Verrucomicrobiota bacterium. Its description in RNAcentral is "Verrucomicrobia bacterium (activated sludge metagenome) tRNA-Thr". It matches the Rfam family "tRNA". Rfam says of the family: Transfer RNA (tRNA) molecules are approximately 80 nucleotides in length. Their secondary structure includes four short double-helical elements and three loops (D, anti-codon, and T loops). Further hydrogen bonds mediate the characteristic L-shaped molecular structure. tRNAs have two regions of fundamental functional importance: the anti-codon, which is responsible for specific mRNA codon recognition, and the 3' end, to which the tRNAs corresponding amino acid is attached (by aminoacyl-tRNA synthetases). tRNAs cope with the degeneracy of the genetic code in two manners: having more than one tRNA (with a specific anti-codon) for a particular amino acid; and 'wobble' base-pairing, i.e. permitting non-standard base-pairing at the 3rd anti-codon position. Lineage: Bacteria; Pseudomonadati; Verrucomicrobiota. The record is from RNAcentral.
GCCUAAGUAGCUCAAUUGGUAGAGCAGCGCAUUCGUAAUGCGGAGGUUGUCGGUUCGAGUCCGGUCUUAGGCA